AGUGAACGCUGGCGGUAGGCCUAACACAUGCAAGUCGAACGGCAGCACAGAGGAGCUUGCUCCUUAGGUGGCGCGUGGCGGACGGGUGAGGAAUACAUCGGAAUCUACUCUGUCGUGAGGGAUAACGUAGGGAAACUUACGCUAAUACCGCAUACGACCUACGGGUGAAAGCAGGGGACCUUCGGGCCUUGCGCGAUUGAAUGAGCCGGUGUCGGAUUAGCUAGUUGGCGGGGUAAAGGCCCACCAAGGCGACGGUCCGUAGCUGGUCUGAGAGGAUGAUCAGCCACACUGGAACUGAGACACGGGCCAGACUCCUGCGGGAGGCAGCAGUGGGGAAUAUUGGACAAUGGGCGCAAGCCUGAUCCAGCCAUACCGCGUGGGUGAAGAAGGCCUUCGGGUUGUAAAGCCCUUUUGUUGGGAAAGAAAUCCAGCUGGCUAAUACCCGGUUGGGAUGACGGUACCCAAAGAAUAAGCACCGGCUAACUUCGUGCCAGCCGCCGCCGUAA
This 506-nucleotide ribosomal RNA is filed under the name uncultured bacterium. RNAcentral's name for it is "partial 16S ribosomal RNA". It matches the Rfam family "Bacterial small subunit ribosomal RNA", at positions 29 to 523 of the family's 1533-position model. The record is from RNAcentral.